Molecule: ribosomal RNA, 800 nt
Filed under: uncultured bacterium
Lineage: Bacteria
Description: bacterial SSU rRNA
Rfam family: Bacterial small subunit ribosomal RNA
Source: RNAcentral
AGAGUUUGAUCCUGGCUCAGAACGAACGCUGGCGGCGUGUUUAAGACAUGCAAGUCGCACGGAAUCAUUUUGGUAGCAAUACUCGAAUGGUUUAGUGGCGCACGGGUGAGUAACAUGUGAAUUACAUGCCCUAUAGUGGGGAAUAGCCCAGGGAAACUUGGAUUAAUACCCCAUGGUCUCGCAAGAGUAAAGGUGGCCGCAAGGCUGUCGCUAUAGGAUUGGUUCGCACCCUAUCAGCUUGUUGGUGAGGUAACGGCUCACCAAGGCUACGACGGGUACCUGGUCUGAGAGGACGAUCAGGCACACUGGAACUGAGACACGGUCCAGACACCUACGGGUGGCAGCAGUCGAGAAUAAUUCACAAUGGGGGCAACCCUGAUGGUGCAACGCCGCGUGGAGGAUGACGGUCUUCGGAUUGUAAACUCCUGUCAUCUGGGAGUAAGACCUGGUCGUUAAUAGCGGACAGGGUUGAUAGUACCAGAAGAGGAAGGGACGGCUAACUUCGUGCCAGCAGCCGCGGUAAUACGAAGGUCCCGAGCGUUGUUCGGAAUCACUGGGCGUAAAGGGAGCGUAGGCGGCGUGGUAAGUCAGAUGUGAAAUCCCGGGGCUCAACCCCGGAACUGCAUCCGAUACUGCCGUGCUAGAGGAUUGGAGAGGUAGCUGGAAUUCUUGGUGUAGCAGUGAAAUGCGUGGAUAUCAAGAGGAACACUCGUGGCGAAAGCGAGCUACUGGACAACUCCUGACGCUGAGGCUCGAAGGCCAGGGUAGCGAAAGGGAUUAGAUACCCCUGUAGUCCUGGC